UCCGCCGGGCCCGGGGAAGCCGCCCGCGACGCCCCGAGCCCCCGACCUGGGCAGGCGGCGGAAGGGUUAAGCGGCCGGGAGGUUAGUCAGCGAGACUCCUGGGGUGAUGGCUUGGAAGAGGAGAGUCCCUCUGGCUGAAGUUUAAAGGAGGUUUCUCCAGACAGAAUCGUAUCGCCUUCGCGGAGCGCUUCAAACCAAACCUAAAGCCAGUCCCGUCCCUUCCCCGAGGGACCUUCUCGCCAUGAAACCCUUCCUGCCUACCCAGCCGAGCUGCCUGCGAGCGAGCUAAAACCGGCAGGAGAAACCAGCGGGCCCGAGGAGUGACCUACAGAGACCCCCGGGCAAGGGAAGCGCGCAGGAGGGCACACACACAGCACACAGACACACAGCGCGGGAGUAAGACCCUACCUUGAUCCAUAGACCUCAUGAUGUGGUGAUCCAUUUAGAAGAGGAGCAACCCCAUGGAUUUCCACUGAUACACGUGGAGCUUAGCAAGAAUGAAAUAGCCAAGGAAGCCUCCGAAACCAAGACAACCCGUGUGUGUUUACACGUACUGUGUAUAAACAGGAAAAUAAAGCAAAAGAAAACAGGAAAAUAAAGAUGUCGUGAACUGUG
Harpia harpyja (harpy eagle) is the source of this 615-nucleotide long non-coding RNA. RefSeq lists it as uncharacterized. The transcript has 2 exons. The record is from RefSeq and is a predicted model, not a curated record. NCBI's taxonomy places the organism in Eukaryota, Metazoa, Chordata, Aves, Accipitriformes, Accipitridae.